Molecule: ribosomal RNA, 117 nt
Organism: Peptoniphilus sp. ING2-D1G
Lineage: Bacteria; Bacillati; Bacillota; Tissierellia; Tissierellales; Peptoniphilaceae
Source: Rfam
UUCGGUGACAAAAGCAAGAGGGACACACCUGUACCCAUACCGAACACAGAAGUUAAGCCUCAACAGCGCUGAUGGUACUUGGCCGGAGACGGCCUGGGAGAGUAAGUAUCGCCGGAU